CUGGUAGUUGUAGGAAUCUACCGUUGGAGAAGUUCAGCCGUUGGCGAAGUCCGGGGUAGUUUGGAUUGGAGUUGAACCUGGCUGGAAGAAGUCUGGAAGGGAUUCAAGGAAUAGCUGAUAUUCGUAGAAAGUCGGCUGGCGGCGGAGCUUAGUGAGCGCUUAGGGUGGCUUAAUAGAUAACUGGGGGAACUCAUGUUGAAGG
This 202-nucleotide long non-coding RNA is filed under the name Elaeis guineensis (African oil palm). RNAcentral describes it as "long non-coding RNA (EGUI_LNC051697)". The record is from RNAcentral. Lineage: Eukaryota; Viridiplantae; Streptophyta; Magnoliopsida; Arecales; Arecaceae.